GUGGACAAGAAAGUGACUUUUUUGCAAGAAGUUUUUGAAUCUUGACCACU
RNAcentral lists this transfer RNA (50 nucleotides) under Psoroptes ovis (sheep scab mite). Its description in RNAcentral is "tRNA-Ala". Lineage: Eukaryota; Metazoa; Arthropoda; Arachnida; Sarcoptiformes; Psoroptidae. The record is from RNAcentral.